This 112-nucleotide non-coding RNA is filed under the name chicken gut metagenome. RNAcentral's name for it is "FMN riboswitch (RFN element)". It matches the Rfam family "FMN riboswitch aptamer (RFN element)". From Rfam's summary of the family: The RFN element is a highly conserved domain that is found frequently in the 5'-untranslated regions of prokaryotic mRNAs that encode for flavin mononucleotide (FMN) biosynthesis and transport proteins. This element is a metabolite-dependent riboswitch that directly binds FMN in the absence of proteins. The record is from RNAcentral.
UGUCUUCAGGGCGGGGUGAGAUUCCCCACUGGCGGUAUAGUCCGCGAGCGCCGCUCGGCGCAGAACCGGUGUGACUCCGGUACCAACGGUAAAGUCCGGAUGAAAGAAGAUG